Molecule: ribosomal RNA, 453 nt
Filed under: uncultured Methanomicrobiales archaeon
Lineage: Archaea; Methanobacteriati; Methanobacteriota; Methanomicrobia; Methanomicrobiales
Description: bacterial SSU rRNA
Rfam family: Archaeal small subunit ribosomal RNA
Source: RNAcentral
CAGGUGGAGCCUGCGGUUUAAUCGGACUCAACGCCGGGAAACUCACCAGAUAAGACAGCUGAAUGAUAGUCGGGCUGAAGACUCACUUGACUAGCUGAGAGGAGGUGCAUGGCCGUCGUCAGUUCGUACUGUGAAGCAUCCUGUUAAGUCAGGCAACGAGCGAGACCCACGCCAACAGUUGCCAGCUCGUCCUCCGGGAUGGAGGGGACACUGUUGGGACCGCCUCUGCUAAAGAGGAGGAAGGAAUGGGCAACGGUAGGUCAGCAUGCCCCGAAUUAUCUGGGCUACACGCGGGCUACAAUGGGUGGGACAAUGGGUAUCGACACCGAAAGGUGAAGGCAAUCUCCUAAACCCAUCCUUAGUUCGGAUUGAGGGCUGCAACUCGCCCUCAUGAAGCUGGAAUCCGUAGUAAUCGCGUUUCAACAGAACGCGGUGAAUACGUCCCUGCUCCUU